This 679-nucleotide ribosomal RNA is filed under the name uncultured bacterium. RNAcentral describes it as "bacterial SSU rRNA". It matches the Rfam family "Bacterial small subunit ribosomal RNA", at positions 118 to 823 of the family's 1533-position model. The record is from RNAcentral.
UAGGAAUCUACCCUUUAGUGGGGAAUAACUCAGAGAAAUCUGGGCUAAUACCGCAUAGUUCUCUUCGGAGUAAAGGUCAUAACUGAUCGCUAAGGGAGGAGCCUGCGUCCUAUCAGCUUGUUGGUGAGGUAAAAGCUCACCAAGGCGAUGACGGGUAGGGGGUGUGAGAGCACGGCCCCCCACAAGGUCACUGAUACACGGGGCCUACACCUACGGGUGGCAGCAACUGGGAAUCUUGCGCAAUGGGCGAAAGCCUGACGCAGCGACGCCGCGUGCGGGAAGAAGGUCUUCGGAUUGUAAACCGCUGUGGAGAGGGAAGAUAAUGACGGUACCUUUCUAGAAAGCACCUGCUAACUACGUGCCAGAAGCCUCGGUGAUACGUAGGGUGCAAGCAUUAUCCGGAUUUAUUGGGCGUAAAGAGUAUCGUAGGCGGUUUUGUAAGUGAUUGGUGAAAUCCUUGGGCUCAACCCAAGAACUGCCAGUCAUACUGUAAAACUAGAGUGAUUUCGGAAAGGCUGGAAUUCUCGGUGUAGGGGUGAAAUCCGUUGAUAUCGAGAGGAACACCAAGGGCGAAGGCAGGCCUUUAGGAAUCUACUGACGCUGAUGAACGAAAGCUUGGGGGAGCAAAACGGAUUAGAGACCCGUGUAGUCCAAGCCGUAAACGAUGCCCACUAGAUGG